GAGGUAAAUGAAUUCUUUUCAAGGAAAUCAAACCCAUAUUUAUUCUGUGAAAAUCCUGGAAAUUCUGGCCAUUUUUAUCAACAUUCUUCCUCAUUUGCUAUGUGUUAGUCUCCAGUGGGGUUUCCAGGUGAACAAGUCCCUAAAGAGCUCAAUCAAGUGGGGAAAGAGUCACACAUAUCAACGUUUCACAGCUAAAAUGAUUUGGUGACAGUGAAUACAAUGUGGAGCACAGAGAACAGAGUGACAAAUAACGGCAUUUUCUGAGGUCUCACUGUUGCCCAAGCUGGAUUGCAAUGGCAUCAUCCUAGUUCCCUGCAGCCUAGAACUCCUGAGCUCAAGCAAUCCAUCCGCCUUAGCCUCCUGAGUAGCUGGAACUACAGCGAUGCCGUCUCCUGAGAGGUCCAAGAAUCACCUCAGCACUUUCUUAUGUGCGAUAGGCCAGACCAAGUAAGGGCCUGCCUCACUACUGGAGCCAACUCAGGUGUCCUCCCAAGGCCAGGGAUCUGCAUCACUUCCAGAUUGUUUCGGAAUGAGUCCUGGCAUUGCUGCUACCAAGGUGUAUUUUUAUUGCAGUCUGUAUUACUUUCCUAGGGAUGAUGUAAGAAAGUAUCACAAAAUUAGUGGCUUAAAGCCACAAGAAUGUAUCCUACUGUAGCUCUACAGGCAAGAAGUCAAAAUCAAGCUGUCAGCUGGGCCACAUCCCUCUGAAGGCUCUAUGGAAACAUUUUCCUUGUCUCUUUCAGAUUCUGGUGGCUCCAGUCAUUCCUUGGCUUGUGGCUGUAGAACUGUAAUCUCUGCUUUUGUCUUCACAUGGCCUUCUGCUCUUCUUCCUGUGCCUCUCCUUUGUGUGUCUCUUAUCAGGACACGUGUCAUUGAAUUUAGGACCCAUCUGGUUAACCCACCAAGAUUCUUACUUACACUCACAAAGCUCUUUUUUCAAAUAAAGUCACAUGCAUAGGUUCCAGGAAUUAGGAGGAGGACCUGUAUUUUGGAGAGAUCACCAUUAAACUCACUACACUGUUGUAACAAAUUAUAAACUUAAUGGCUUAAAACAAUAAAAAUUUAUUGUCUUAUA
This is a long non-coding RNA of Pan troglodytes (chimpanzee), 1075 nucleotides long. RefSeq lists it as uncharacterized. NCBI's taxonomy places the organism in Eukaryota, Metazoa, Chordata, Mammalia, Primates, Hominidae. The transcript has 3 exons. The record is from RefSeq and is a predicted model, not a curated record.